Molecule: ribosomal RNA, 2454 nt
Filed under: Triticum aestivum (bread wheat)
Lineage: Eukaryota; Viridiplantae; Streptophyta; Magnoliopsida; Poales; Poaceae
Description: partial small subunit ribosomal RNA
Source: RNAcentral
AUGGAUCAAGGAGACCAGCAGUGGGAUGGCAUGAACAUAACGAGGGCACUUGAGGCCUUGUCCCCCUACAUCAACAACCCACGGGAGACUGUCAUCCGUAUUGAAGUAUUUGUGGGUGUUUCAACCGCUCUUUUGUUUCUGCAAGUCACCCUUGGUCCGUGCCGCCGGCGGUCGAGCAACUUCCUCAUCCAAGGUGCCUUGUGGCUAGCAUACACACUAUCCUUCCCUCUUUCUGCCUACACCAUCGGUCAGAUGCUGUCCUCACCAGUGAAGAAUGGGCUGUACCCUCUCUGGGUUGCUCUCAUCUUAUGGGCCGUGGGAUGCAGCAACUCCAUGACAGCUUAUGGUCUUGAUGACAACAAGCUUUGGAGGCGGUACCUCUUUGUGCUGCUUCAGUAUUUUUUCUACGCAGGCAUUAUAUUCCGGCUGCUUGUUCCUACUAGAUAUGAGUUCCUCUUGUUCCCAAAAGGACCCAUUUUUGAAACACAGCCUAUUGCCUGGUCUAUAGAUAUCCUAAUUAGCGUCUUACUGUUCACUAGUUUGGUUAGAGCAAUGGCUAAUUGGAUAGCUACAGAUUCUUACCACAGCCAAGUAGUAGCAGAUUACAUGAGGGAUCAGGUCAACCACACUGCCAACCAUCACGUAUCUGUAGAUCCAAUCACAAUGGAGGGCUACAGAUACAUUGUCUUCUUGCCUUCUCACCUACUGUGCGGCUUUAAGGUGGCAAAGGGACCAACCUACAGAAACAAAUUAGUACCCGCAGAUGAUGGUAUCAUCACCAUCGACGCAAUUUGGAGGGAGAAAUUUGAUGACAGCUGGCUCAACACAGAUGGAGGUGGAUCACAAUUGAAUGAUGUGUGCCUUUCAUUUGCUUUGUCUCACCUGCUGAAGCGCAGAUUCUUUGGGAUGGAGUGCGCUGAAGCCGCCCAUGAUGAGACCCGCAAGUUUGUCUUGGAGGGUUUACUAUCCCAUAAGGAUGGAGGUGCAAGAGCAUUUCGUAUCAUCGAGGUGGAAUUGGGUUUCCUCUAUGAUUUCUUCUUCACAAAGUAUGCAGCUCUGUUUCACAUGGAGAGAUCUUUCAUUGCCAUGGUGCUUCUCAGAAUAAUUCUCUUGUCUAUCACAGUGGCAGUACUGCUUGGGGGUUCCCCAACUAUCAUGACACCUAAACCGGUAAUUGAAGUUGGCACAAGAUCUGUCGAUGUUAGUAUCACAAUCAUGAUUAUGGGAAUUCUUUUGUUGGUUGAAGCACUGCAGAUUAUACUUUAUCUGAUGUCAGAUUGGGCCACUGUUUCACUCGCUUGCGGCUAUACAAGAAGAUCAGGGACCUGCAACAAACUCAUUCCGUUUGUUAUUUGGUUUCUCAGAAGAUUUAACUUAUCCAGAUAUUGGACAAGUAUGAUAUCAAAUACAAAGUUUGGCAAGUUUCUUUACAGCCUUAAUUUAUUUGGAUAUUGGCAAAAUCAGAUGGGCCAGUUAUCCCUAUUUGGACUCUCAAAAACUGAAACUCGGCCGAGUCGGAUCUUUGUCUGGUUGGACGACCUCUUCUGCCAGGCUUUUCUUUUGGCUAAUUUAACUGUCCAAGAAUACAUCCUUCAGCCCAUAUUUUCAAAGAUUUCAAAUAUAUUCUUCUCAUCUGCGAAAACAUCAAUAGGGGUUCCUGAUCUGGUCAAGAAAGAGAUAGUUUCUUGCUUACAGAAAACCAAUAUUGGUGGCCCUCUAACUAAUGGACAAGCAGCAUUGCGGUGUAAUGGAGAAGCAGCACUGCAGCAUCAUGUUGUCCUUGAGCAUAUCUCCUGUACACUGGAGAAUCAAAGUCAGACAAUGACCAUGCUUAUUUGGCAUAUUGCAACUGAGUACUGCGAUCUUCCUUCUCCCAAUGAGUUGGAGGAGCAUCAGAGCAGUGCGCAGGAGGAGGAAAAUGCGCAAAUAGAUAAAAAGUACAAGCAAGUCGCGAUAAUCUUAUCCAGAUAUUGUAUAUACUUGAUAGCCAAUGUCCCAGCUUUGCUUCCUGGAGAUUCUACAGAUACACUAAUGGUCUACCGUGCUGUGGUAAAUGAGGUUCAGCGUGAUGGGGUUUGGGCUUCUCACAAGCCAUGUAAGGCUGAAUUGCUGAAUGUCAUCAACAAUUGCGACAGCCGCAGGCGCACCAAAGAAGAGGGCAAUAACAUCAUCGAGGGCUCGCCCAACAACAACAAUGAAGAAGAUACCAUCUUCAUGAAAGGCUUGAAGCUGGGGAAGAAGCUGGAGGAAAUUGGAGACGGCGCGCUCCGUUGGAAGCUCAUGGCGGAUUUCUGGGUUGAGACCAUCAUCUACAUUGCACCAUCGGACGACGCCACAGCGCACAUGGAGCGCCUCGCCCAGGGUGGAGAAUUUCUUACUCAUGUCUGGGCUCUCCUCACUCACGCAGGCAUCGUGCGGCAUGACCAGAGGAGAAACCCCGAAGAUCUUGUGUAA